This 853-nucleotide ribosomal RNA is filed under the name uncultured archaeon. RNAcentral's name for it is "bacterial SSU rRNA". It matches the Rfam family "Archaeal small subunit ribosomal RNA", at positions 85 to 922 of the family's 1478-position model. The record is from RNAcentral.
ACGGCUCAGUAACACGUGGCCAACCUGCCCUUAGGACAAGUAUAACCCCGGGAAACUGGGGAUAAUCCUUGAUAGGUGAGGAAUUCUGGAAUGAGUCUUUGCUUAAAGGAUGUGCAGAUCACGCUUCUGUGCGUUGCCUAAGGAUGGGGCCGCGGCCGAUCAGGUUGUUGGUGAGGUAACGGCUCACCAAGCCUAUAACCGGUACGGGCCGUGAAAGCGGAAGCCCGGAGAUGGGCACUGAGACAAGGGCCCAGGCCCUACGGGGCGCAGCAGUCGCGAAAACUCCGCAAUACGCGAAAGCGUGACGGGGCUAUCCCGAGUGCUAUUCGAUGAGAGUAGCUUUUCCUCAGUGUAAAGUGCUGGGGGAAUAAGGAGGGGGCAAGACUGGUGUCAGCCGCCGCGGUAAUACCAGCUCUCCGAGUGAUAGGGACGUUUAUUGGGCCUAAAGCAUCCGUAGCUUGCUGAGUCUGUCCUCCGUUAAAUCCAACGAUUUAAUCGUUGGGCUGCGGGGGAUACUGCUUAGCUAGGAGGCGGGAGAGGCCGACGGUAUUUCCGGGGUAGGGGUGAAAUCCUAUAAUCCCGGGACGACCACCAGUGGCGAAGGCUGUCGGCUAGAACGCGCUCGACGGUGAGGGAUGAAAGCUGGGGGAGCAAACCGGAUUAGAUACCCGGGUAGUCCCAGCUGUAAACGAUGCAGGCUAGGUGUUGGUGUGGCUACGAGCCGCUCCAGUGCCGCAGGGAAGCCGUUAAGCCUGCCGCCUGGGAAGUACGGCCGCCAGGGUGAAACUUAAAGGAAUUGGCGGAGGAGCACCACAAGGGUGAAGCUUGCGGUUUAAUUGGAGUCAACGCCGGA